This 583-nucleotide ribosomal RNA is filed under the name uncultured beta proteobacterium. Its description in RNAcentral is "bacterial SSU rRNA". It matches the Rfam family "Bacterial small subunit ribosomal RNA", at positions 338 to 916 of the family's 1533-position model. The record is from RNAcentral. Lineage: Bacteria; Pseudomonadati; Pseudomonadota; Betaproteobacteria.
CCUACGGGAGGCAGCAGUGGGGAAUUUUGGACAAUGGGCGCAGGCCUGAUCCAGCAAUGCCGCGUGCAGGAUGAAGGCCUUCGGGUUGUAAACUGCUUUUGUACGGAACGAAACGGUUCGCUUUAAUACAGUGGGCUAAUGACGGUACCGUAAGAAUAAGCACCGGCUAACUACGUGCCAGCAGCCGCGGUAAUACGUAGGGUGCGAGCGUUAAUCGGAAUUACUGGGCGUAAAGCGUGCGCAGGCGGUGAUGUAAGACAGAUGUGAAAUCCCCGGGCUCAACCUGGGACCUGCAUUUGUGACUGCAUCGCUAGAGUACGGUAGAGGGGGAUGGAAUUCCGCGUGUAGCAGUGAAAUGCGUAGAUAUGCGGAGGAACACCGAUGGCGAAAGCAAUCCCCUGGACCUGCACUGACGCUCAUGCACGAGAGCGUGGGGAGCAAACAGGAUUAGAUACCCUGGUAGUCCACGCCCUAAACGAUGUCAACUGGUUGUUGGGUCUUCACUGACUCAGUAACGAAGCUAACGCGUGAAGUUGACCGCCUGGGGAGUACGCCGCAAGUUGAAACUCAAAGGAAUUGACGG